Molecule: ribosomal RNA, 400 nt
Filed under: uncultured soil bacterium
Lineage: Bacteria
Description: bacterial SSU rRNA
Rfam family: Bacterial small subunit ribosomal RNA
Source: RNAcentral
AGAACGAACGCUGGCGGCAUGCCUAAUACAUGCAAGUCGAACGAACUCUUCGGAGUUAGUGGCGCACGGGUGCGUAACGCGUGGGAAUCUGCCCUUGGGUUCGGAAUAACAGUUGGAAACGACUGCUAAUACCGGAUGAUGACGAAAGUCCAAAGAUUUAUCGCCCAGGGAUGAGCCCGCGUAGGAUUAGCUAGUUGGUGAGGUAAGGCUCACCAAGGCGACGAUCCUUAGCUGGUCUGAGAGGAUGAUCAGCCACACUGGGACUGAGACACGGCCCAGACUCCGUACGGGAGGCAGCAAGUAGGGAAUAUUGGACAAUGGGACGAAAGCCUAGAUCCAGCAAUGCCGCGUGAGUGAGUGAAGCGUUAAGGUUGUAAAGCUUACUUUACCGAGACGUAGA